This 49-nucleotide transfer RNA is filed under the name Blomia tropicalis. Its description in RNAcentral is "tRNA-Ser". The record is from RNAcentral. Lineage: Eukaryota; Metazoa; Arthropoda; Arachnida; Sarcoptiformes; Echimyopodidae.
CUUCUAAUAUACUUAACUUUGAAAGUUUAGUUUGGAACUUCCUAGAGGC